GGGGUUGUUAGCUACCGGAGCUACGGUUUCAGGGAGCUUGGGAGAUAAUUGUCUGCAGGUGUGUCCAGUUUCUUCGCAAAUGUGUGCGACUGCACAGAAACCAAACUCUGUUUGCAAACGAGCAUACCGUGGAAAAUCAUAGACCACUAUGGUUUGUGUGGUGGUUAUAUUAGUUAACUUAGCAGUUGAAAUAUAAAUAGAUUUUUUUUUUCCCUAAGGUUUUCUGUAUAACUACAUUGAUAUUAUUAGUAAGUAUAUAAUGUAAUGUAAUUGUAAGGAAAUAAAUCACUUUGAUGUAAUAAAAUUAGGAGAAUGUUAACUUGUGCCCUUAAGGCACAUGUUAAGGAAGCAAAAAUAGAAAUUAUUAAAUGCUAUUUUGUGUAUUUUGACUUUUGAAACAUUAAAUUUCUUGUAUCAUUAAAUAUUAAAUUUCUAUUUUGGUAUAUCUUAACAUGUGCCCUAAGGGUAGGGCACAUGUUAACAAAACCCAUAAAAUUAUGUGAAACUUUGUGUUUCUCUUGUUAUUAUAGGCAACAAAGAAGGAACAUGUAAAGUUCUCUAGUGUUAUUUUCAUGCAAUAAUUUGGCAUAAAAAUGUUAUGUAAGGUGAUAUGAGUUUAAACCUACAAUAAAUUGGUUGUGAUGACAGAUUUGAAU
RNAcentral lists this long non-coding RNA (656 nucleotides) under Trifolium pratense (red clover). RNAcentral describes it as "long non-coding RNA (TPRA_LNC000038)". Lineage: Eukaryota; Viridiplantae; Streptophyta; Magnoliopsida; Fabales; Fabaceae. The record is from RNAcentral.